CUCCUCGAGGAAUGGUGAGCUGUCACUGCUGCACGAGCGUGCUGCCAGCUCCCCAGGGGCUCACCCUAAAAGUUCCUUUUAGAGAACACCUGCAGCCUUAACUCCAUUUUAGAGCCUGACUUCUAGGAGCCAACCUGUGGCAGUUAAGAUGUAUUAUAUACAUCAUAUGUAUUAUAUAUAUUAAUCACCACCAGCACAUAGAGCAUGCAGAGGCAGCCCACUGUUAUAACCACCACGGGGUUGUCCUCAAAAGUAGCAAAGAGCUCGGCAGUCUGGCGGACGUUGAUGGCAUUGGGCAUCACCAGGAAUGUGCUUCCAAAGAAGGUUCUUCACUGGGAUGGGAUGGCCACUGGAGCUGGUCAGACGAAGUCCACCAACAGUCCCGCUGACAUGAAAGUGGCUUCGGGAAGGGAAGGGGCUCUGUGAGAAACUCAUCAUCUGAAAGCCAAGAACAAGAAGCACUGAUGAGCGGCAGGGGUGAGCAGGCUCCUGUGUGAACAGUGACACCCUCAGGCUGGUGACUGGCCCUUGUUCUAUGGGGUGGAUGCAGGGCCCUGCCUUUAACUGAUGGUUCUUUACAGAGAUGUAGUCUGCAAAGGCCAUCUCCAGGACUCAGCAAGCCUUUCUUCCCCCAAAGUUGAUAUAAUCAUAUCUCAACACCUUCAGUUCUAUGUCCGCGGACUCAACUAAAUGUGGACUGAAAUAUUUGAAAAA
RNAcentral lists this long non-coding RNA (714 nucleotides) under Mus pahari (shrew mouse). Its description in RNAcentral is "lncRNA (MGP_PahariEiJ_G0003061.1)". The record is from RNAcentral. Lineage: Eukaryota; Metazoa; Chordata; Mammalia; Rodentia; Muridae.